CCUACGGGGGGCAGCAGUGAGGAAUAUUGGUCAAUGGACGCAAGUCUGAACCAGCAAUGCCGCGUGCAGGAAGACGGCUCUAUGAGUUGUAAACUGCUUUUGUACGAGGGUAAACGCAGAUACGCGUAUCUGUCUGAAAGUAUCGUACGAAUAAGGAUCGGCUAACUCCGUGCCAGCAGCCGCGGUAAUACGGAGGAUUCAAGCGUUACCCGGAUUGAUUGGGUUUAAAGGGUGCGUAGGCGGUCGGAUAAGUUAGAGGUGAAAUCCCGAGGCUCAACUGCGGAAUUGCCUCUGAUACUGUUCGGCUAGAGAGUAGUUGCGGUAGGUGGAAUGUAUGGUGUAGCGGUGAAAUGCUUAGAGAUCAUACAGAACACCGGUUGCGAAGGCAGCUUACCAAGCUACUUCUGACGUUGAGGCACGAAAGCGUUGGGAGCAAACAGGAUUAGAUACCCGAGUAGUC
This 460-nucleotide ribosomal RNA is filed under the name uncultured bacterium. RNAcentral's name for it is "partial 16S ribosomal RNA". It matches the Rfam family "Bacterial small subunit ribosomal RNA", at positions 338 to 795 of the family's 1533-position model. The record is from RNAcentral.